Gossypium raimondii (Peruvian cotton) is the source of this 123-nucleotide non-coding RNA. The record is from Rfam. NCBI's taxonomy places the organism in Eukaryota, Viridiplantae, Streptophyta, Magnoliopsida, Malvales, Malvaceae.
AAUAAGAGAAUGACAAAGCAUAUUUUUCCUCCUGAUUUUCGGCUUUUUCCUCCUGAAAAAAUUUAAAUCCAAUUAAAAAUACUAAAAAUCAAGAGGGAAAAUAUGAUUUAUCAUUCGCUUAUU